Molecule: ribosomal RNA, 450 nt
Filed under: uncultured bacterium
Lineage: Bacteria
Description: bacterial SSU rRNA
Rfam family: Bacterial small subunit ribosomal RNA
Source: RNAcentral
GAUGAACGCUGGCGGCGUGCUUAACACAUGCAAGUCGAGCGAAGCACUUAAGUUUGAUUCUUCGGAUGAAGACUUUUGUGACUGAGCGGCGGAUGGGUGAGUAACGCGUGGGUAACCUGCCUCAUACAGGGGGAUAACAGUUAGAAAUGACUGCUAAUCCCGCAUAAGACCACGGUACCGCAUGGUACAGUGGUAAAAACUCCGGUGGUAUGAGAUGGACCCACGUCUGAUUAGGUAGUUGGUGGGGUAACGGCCUACCAAGCUGACGAUCAGUAGCCGACCUGAGAGGGUGACCGGCCACAUUGGGACUGAGACACGGCCCAGACUCCUACGGGAGGCAGCAGUGGGGAAUAUUGCACAAUGGAGGAAACUCUGAUGCAGCGACGCCGCGUGAAGGAUGAAGUAUUUCGGUAUGUAAACUUCUAUCAGCAGGGAAGAAAAUGACGGUAC